Molecule: long non-coding RNA, 1075 nt
Filed under: Equus caballus (horse)
Lineage: Eukaryota; Metazoa; Chordata; Mammalia; Perissodactyla; Equidae
Description: lncRNA (ENSECAG00000052815.1)
Source: RNAcentral
CAUAACUGGCUCCCACUCCCACUGCUGCCAUGACCUCAUCUACGACUCCACUCACAUUCCCUUUGUUCAAGUCACAGUGGUCUCCCAGCAGGUCCUGACACAUGCCUAGCUUGUUCCUGCCACAGGGACUUUGCACUUACUCUUCCUGCCGCCUAAAACCUUCUUACCCCAGGUAUCUGCAUGGCUCAUUCUCACCUUCCUUGGACUCUGCUCAAAUGUCAUCAGAGAAGCCCUCAUAGAUAACACUAAAUGAACCAGAGGUGCUUCAUCCAUCACUUUCUCUCCCCUGACCCAAGGACCAGCUACAUGCUUUGAGGGGCCCAGUGCAAAAUGGAAAUGUGAGAUCCUUGGUUCAAAAAGCAAGGGAAAAAAUACGUGAUGUUAAAGAUCCUGUACUCCUGAACGUCUUCCCUGGAAAACUUCUUCCUGGGAUGUGGGCCCCCAGGCAACACCAUCGAGUUGAAGGGUUCUAUAACCGAAGGGACUUCUGGACCAGUGAGCUCAGCUCUUUGCCUAAGAGGGAGAAAAGGGAGCUCCACAGUCAUAGCUGGUCCACCAUGGUGCUGGUGCGCUGUCUUGGCCUCCUUCUCACAUGCCAGUGCUCUUCCUAUCCUGAAUACUAAAUAAGGCCGCAAAGAUGAGGAUGAAAGCCUGCAGGUUCAGGAUGGUGGGAAAGAUGGCAUUGGAACAAACGGUAACAUCUAGCAAGCAGUUUGCAUCGACUCUGCACGACAACCAAAAUAUGCUGUGUUGUCCAAAUGAAAAUUCUCCAAAAUAAUGACAUCAAGAUCAAACCAAGAUAAAGAGCUGGCAUCAUUAUACUUGACAGGCAUAUACAGUACUUAUGCUGAAAUUGAAAUGAUCAAAACUAACCUCAUGGAAAAAUGUAAGCACCCAAAGGUUGUAAGAAAAGUCAUACAAAUCAAAUUUAUAAAGCAAAUAAAUCAAAUUUAUAAAGCAAUUCUAAUGCCACUUUUGAAAAAAGUAAAUUCCCUCUUAGAGGACUCAUCGACUUCAUCCUAGUCCAAAAGCUUGUUGGGUGGCAGAAAUGAUGAUGAUUAUAGCCUGAGACAUC